ACGGGUGAGUAACACGUAGGCAACCUGCCCACCAGACGGGGAUAACGACCGGAAACGGUAGCUAAUACCGGAUAGAUCCUGUCGCCGCAUGGCGAGAGGAAGAAAGGCGGCUUAGGCUGUCGUUGGUGGAAGGGCCUGCGGCGCAUUAGCUAGUUGGUAGAGUAACGGCCUACCAAGGCGACGAUGCGUAGCCGACCUGAGAGGGUGAACGGCCACACUGGGACUGAGACACGGCCCAGACUCCUACGGGAGGCAGCAGUAGGGAAUCUUCCGCAAUGGGCGCAAGCCUGACGGAGCAACGCCGCGUGAGUGAAGAAGGUUUUCGGAUCGUAAAGCUCUGUUGCCAGGGAAGAACGACUUUUGGAGGAACUGCCAGAAGAGUGACGGUACCUGAGAAGAAAGCCCCGGCUAACUACGUGCCAGCAGCCGCGGUAAUACGUAGGGGGCAAGCGUUGUCCGGAAUUAUUGGGCGUAAAGCGCGCGCAGGCGGCCAUUUAAGUCCGGUGUAUAAGCCCGGGGCUCAACCCCGGAUCGCACGGGAAACUGGAGGGCUUGAGAACAGCAGAGGAGAGUGGAAU
This 578-nucleotide ribosomal RNA is filed under the name uncultured bacterium. RNAcentral describes it as "bacterial SSU rRNA". It matches the Rfam family "Bacterial small subunit ribosomal RNA", at positions 102 to 667 of the family's 1533-position model. The record is from RNAcentral.